This 253-nucleotide ribosomal RNA is filed under the name uncultured bacterium. RNAcentral's name for it is "partial 16S ribosomal RNA". It matches the Rfam family "Bacterial small subunit ribosomal RNA", at positions 524 to 776 of the family's 1533-position model. The record is from RNAcentral.
UACGUAGGGGGCAAGCGUUAUCCGGAUUCACUGGGCGUAAAGGGAGCGCAGGCGGCAUGGCAAGUCUGAUGUGAAAACCCGGGGCCCAACCCCGGGAGUGCAUUGGAAACUGCCAGGCUGGAGUGUCGGAGGGGUAAGCGGAAUUCCUAGUGUAGCGGUGAAAUGCAUAGAUAUUAGGAGGAACACCAGUGGCGAAGGCGGCUUACUGGACGACUACUGACGCUGAGGCUCGAAAGCGUGGGGAGCAAACAGG